CAUAGCGACUAUCGUGGCAUAUCAAUAAGCGGAGGAAAAGAAACUAACAAGGAUUCCCUUAGUAACGGCGAGUGAAGCGGGAAGAGCUCAAAUUUGAAAUCUUCAAGGUUCUACCUUGACGAAUUGUAGUUUAAAGAAGUGUUUUCUGUUGAAGUUUUGGUAAAAGUUCUUUGGAAUAGGACAUCAUAGAGGGUGAGAAUCCCGUAUUUGACCAUUAUUUUCAGCUGUGUGAUACACUUUCAAAGAGUCGGAUUGUUUGGGAAUGCAGUCCAAAAUGGGUGGUAAAUUUCAUCUAAAGCUAAAUAUUGGCGAGAGACCGAUAGCGAACAAGUACCGUGAGGGAAAGAUGAAAAGAACUUUGAAAAGAGAGUUAAACAGUACGUGAAAUUGUCAAAAGGGAAAGCGUUAGACACCAGUGUUGUUUAGUUCGAAAAUCAAUUCAAUAAUUUUGAUUCAUGCAAGUAGUAUUGACUUCAUCAGCUUGCAAUGCUUUCUUUCAGGGUAUUAUUGAUGCACUUUUCAGGUUAACAAGUCAACAUCAAUUUCCUUUGUUGUAAAAGGUAAGAGGAGGGUGGCUUACGCUUCGGCGUAAGUGUUUAUAGCCUUUUACCUCUGCAAUCGGAGAGAUUGAGGACAGCAGCGUAGACUCUUCGGGGUUAGAUACACUUGUGCUAAGCUAUAGCCUUGUAUAGACAACUUGUUGACUAUGCUCAGUCAUGUAGCUUACUCGCUUGUGCUAUUUUACCUACGCUUAGGAUGUUGAUAGUCACAGCGUGUAC
RNAcentral lists this ribosomal RNA (779 nucleotides) under uncultured Neocallimastigales. RNAcentral describes it as "partial large subunit ribosomal RNA". It matches the Rfam family "Eukaryotic large subunit ribosomal RNA", at positions 22 to 644 of the family's 3401-position model. Lineage: Eukaryota; Fungi; Neocallimastigomycota; Neocallimastigomycetes; Neocallimastigales. The record is from RNAcentral.